This 69-nucleotide transfer RNA is filed under the name Japanagallia curvipenis. Its description in RNAcentral is "tRNA-Leu". The record is from RNAcentral. Lineage: Eukaryota; Metazoa; Arthropoda; Insecta; Hemiptera; Cicadellidae.
UCUAAUAUGGCAGAAACCGUUAUGCAGUGAAUUUAAGAUUCAUUUAUAAAUAAUUAUAUUUUAUUGGAA